CACGUAGGCGGCUUGGUAAGUCAGAUGUGAAAGCCCGGGGCUUAACCUCGGAAGUGCAUUUGAUACUGUCAGGCUUGAGUAUGGGAGAGGGAAGUGGAAUUCCUGGUGUAGAGGUGAAAUUCGUAGAUAUCAGGAGGAACACCGGUGGCGAAGGCGACUUCCUGGACCAAUACUGACGCUGAGGUGCGAAGGCGUGGGUAGCAAACA
This 207-nucleotide ribosomal RNA is filed under the name uncultured bacterium. RNAcentral's name for it is "partial 16S ribosomal RNA". It matches the Rfam family "Bacterial small subunit ribosomal RNA", at positions 568 to 774 of the family's 1533-position model. The record is from RNAcentral.